ACAAUAUAGACAAGCAUUGUGAAAAAGACGCCUUGCAGUAGCUUAUAUUGCUUCGCCUUGGCUGUAUUAUUCUUGUGUUUAGUGUUAGCGUUUUCCAUUUAAAAAAGCUUCAGUUCAGUCAACAAUGGAAUUGAUAGGCGUAGUCUUCGUUAUCAUUACCUCGGCUUUAUUCCACAAAUGUUUAUGUUAUCCUUCCGGAGCACCGACUUCGCAAUGUACAAGCAUGACACCAAAUCAUGGGGCUGUUGCUCAAGCAGGAGCAAGUCCGUACGAAGUUAAGGUCAACAGACCGUAUUAUAUGCCAGGGGAAACUGUCAGAGUUUCCAUCGAAAGUUCGGGUGAUAAUAUCAAAGGCUAUCUGAUCCAAGCAAGACAAGUAGGAGGAAACUCAGCGACGGGAAUGUUUGCAGCGGCUCCCGUAAAUGGAAAGCACUUGAGUUGUGGCAAUAGCAAGGUAAAAUUUAAAUUAUAUUCUCAAAGUAGAACACAAAAG
Molecule: non-coding RNA, 493 nt
Organism: Paramuricea clavata
Lineage: Eukaryota; Metazoa; Cnidaria; Anthozoa; Malacalcyonacea; Plexauridae
Source: the annotation of a GenBank genome assembly